GAUGAACGCUGGCGGCGUGCUUAACACAUGCAAGUCGAACGAAGCCAUUUAUUUGAUUUCCUUCGGGACUGAUUAUUUUGUGACUGAGUGGCGGACGGGUGAGUAACUCGUGGGUAACCUGCCUUGUAGAGGGGGAUAACAGUUGGAAACGGCUGCUAAUACAGGAUAAGCGCCCAGCAUCGUUUGAUGCAGUGUGGAAAACUCCGGUGGUAUAAGAUGGACCCGCGUUGGAUUAGCUAGUUGGUGAGGUAACGGCCCACCAAGGCGACGAUCCAUAGCCGACCAGAGAGGGUGACCGGCCACAUUGGGACUGAGACACGGCCCAAACUCCUACGCGAGGCAGCAGUGGCGAAUAUUGCACAAUGGGCUAAAGCAUGAUGCAGCGACGCCGCGUGAGCGAAGAAGUAUUGCAGUAUGUAAAGCUCUAUCAGCAGGGAAGAUAAUGACGGUACCUAACUAAUAAGCACCGGCUAAAUUCGUG
RNAcentral lists this ribosomal RNA (481 nucleotides) under uncultured bacterium. RNAcentral's name for it is "partial 16S ribosomal RNA". It matches the Rfam family "Bacterial small subunit ribosomal RNA", at positions 28 to 507 of the family's 1533-position model. The record is from RNAcentral.